Cyprinus carpio (common carp) is the source of this 833-nucleotide long non-coding RNA. RefSeq lists it as uncharacterized. NCBI's taxonomy places the organism in Eukaryota, Metazoa, Chordata, Actinopteri, Cypriniformes, Cyprinidae. The transcript has 3 exons. The record is from RefSeq and is a predicted model, not a curated record.
UCUUCAGCUGCUGAUGGCCGGGACAGCAGGACUCACUGUGGAUCUUUAUUUCUUCAGGACUUUUUCUUAAUGUAGAUUCAGCAGGAUUUUAUAAACAUUCUGGAUCAUUCUGCAUUUCUCCUCUUCUCACAGAUUCAAAUGGAGUGUAUAAAGGAAAAAACACAUAGAAAACUGCCAUCAGAAACCACAGACAAGCAAAAACCAACAGGACAAAGAUAGAAAAAUGGAGGACAGAAAUGAAACACAGACCACUGGAUCUCAAGAGAAAAGCAGACAGAGACUUGAUAGAUGUGACAGUAUGAAGAUGUUAAAGCCAUUCUUCUCUCGUGAUCCAGACGGGCAGGUAAAGUUUCAUUCUGAUGUCAAAAGUGCUUCAGCAUGUUCUCAAGAACACACAACAUCACUGAGACACCAGCAGCAGAAGACCUGAUCAUCAUCAUCAUCAUCUUCAUCAUCACAGACUCCAUCACUCAGAAUACAGUCUCUUCAGCUCCAGGACUGUUUUCAGACUCAUCUGAUCACAAACUAACAGACCAAUGAACCGUUUCUUUCUCAGAUCUGUAUCUGAGAACCGUUUUAUUGAUCUGGAGCUGCACUUUAUGUGAUCAUUUUCACAUCUGCAUCACACAGAGCUUCUUUUUUUCCUUUGACAAAAUAUGAGUUUCAGUUUGUGCUGCCUCAUAUUUCAUGCAUUUUUUAUUUACUAUUUGUGUUUUUGUAUUUCUGUAUAUUGUGAUUUAAUUUAAGAGAUUCUAUCCACCUUAUUUAAUUCUAACAGAAAUGCAGGUGUGACUGUUUGUUAUUAAAUGUAAAUAGCCAGUAUCUGGGCUUCC